This 427-nucleotide ribosomal RNA is filed under the name uncultured bacterium. RNAcentral's name for it is "partial 16S ribosomal RNA". It matches the Rfam family "Bacterial small subunit ribosomal RNA", at positions 354 to 796 of the family's 1533-position model. The record is from RNAcentral.
GUGAGGAAUCUUCCACAAUGGGCGAAAGCCUGAUGGAGCAACGCCGCGUGAAGGAUGAAGGUCUUCGGAUUGUAAACUUCUUUUAUGAGUGAAGAAUAUGACGGUAACUCAUGAAUAAGCACCGGCUAACUACGUGCCAGCAGCCGCGGUCAUACGUAGGGUGCAAGCAUUAUCCGGAGUGACUGGGCGUAAAGCGUUGCGUAGGCGGUUAUGUAAGCGAAUAGUGAAACCUGGUGGCUCAACCACACAGACUAUUAUUCGAACUGCAUAACUCGAGAAUGGUAGAGGUAACUGGAAUUUCUUGUGUAGGAGUGAAAUCCGUAGAUAUAAGAAGGAACACCAAUGGCGUAGGCAGGUUACUGCGCCAUUUCUGACGCUAAGGCACGAAAGCGUGGGGAGCGAACCGGAUUAGAUACCCCUGUAGUCC